CAACACCAGCCGCCUCCACUAUGCCGCCGAAGUUCAACCCCAACGAGAUCAAAGUCGUAUACCUGAGGUGCACCGGGAGUGAAGACAGUGACACUUCUGCACUGGCCCCCAAGAUCGGCCCCCUAGGUCUGUCUCCAAACAAGGCUGGUGAUGACAUUGCCAAGGCAACAGGUGACUGGAAGGGCCUGAGGAUUACAGUGAAACUGACCGUUCAGAACAGACAGGCCCAGAUUGAGGUGGUGCCUUCUGCCUCUGCCCUGAUCAUCAAAGCCCUCAAGGAACCACCAAGAGACAGAAAGAAACAGAGAAACAUUAAACACAGUGGGAAUAUCACUUUUGAUGAGAUCGUCAACACUGCUCAACAGAUACAGCACCGAUCUUUAGCUAGAGAACUCUCUGGAACCAUCAAAGAGAUCCUGCCCAGUCUGUGGGCUGUAAUGUUGAUGGCCGCCACCCUCAUGACAUCAUCGAUGACAUCAAGAGUGGCGCAGUGGAAUGCCCUGCUAGUUAAGAAGCACAAAGGAAAAUAUUUCAAUAAAGAAUCAUUUGACAACUGGAAAAAAAAAAGUUUCCAAACUAGAUAGAGGUGAUGGUUACACAAUGCCAUUAACGUACUUAAUGCUACUUAACUGUAUACUUUAAAAUGGUUAAAAUAGCAGGUUUAAAAGAAAAAGAGUAGCCCUCUUCCAUCAUUCUAUAAGGACAAAGCACCAUUCAUCGGGGGAUGGGAGUCCAGCCCUUCCUGUGGGGGAGAGGGAGGCAGACACCCUUCACCCUCAGACACAGAACAGCAGAGUGUGCAGCAGGUGAUCAACAAACACCCACUACUGAGGAACACACAUGGACAUGGAAAACGGGGCCACUGCACAGGAAUUUGAGGGGAGGGGAGGGCACGUCCAGAGCAGAAGACACACAGCCUGGGCCCGUGGCUGACCACCCCAUGGCCAGCCCCAGAUCACACCCAGCCAAGUGCCCAGAAAACAGCAAUU
Sapajus apella (tufted capuchin) is the source of this 989-nucleotide RNA transcript. It is a transcript of the gene named 60S ribosomal protein L12 pseudogene, with no coding region annotated. Lineage: Eukaryota; Metazoa; Chordata; Mammalia; Primates; Cebidae. The transcript has a single exon. The record is from RefSeq and is a predicted model, not a curated record.